Molecule: ribosomal RNA, 506 nt
Filed under: uncultured bacterium
Lineage: Bacteria
Description: partial 16S ribosomal RNA
Rfam family: Bacterial small subunit ribosomal RNA
Source: RNAcentral
AGUGAACGCUGGCGGUAGGCCUAACACAUGCAAGUCGAACGGCAGCACAGGAGAGCUUGCUCUCUGGGUGGCGAGUGGCGGACGGGUGAGGAAUACAUCGGAAUCUACUUUUUCGUGGGGGAUAACGUAGGGAAACUUACGCUAAUACCGCAUACGACCUACGGGUGAAAGCAGGGGAUCUUCGGACCUUGCGCGAUUGAAUGAGCCGAUGUCGGAUUAGCUAGUUGGCGGGGUAAAGGCCCACCAAGGCGACGAUCCGUAGCUGGUCUGAGAGGAUGAUCAGCCACACUGGAACUGAGACACAGUCCAGACUCCUACGGGAGGCAGCAGUGGGGAAUAUUGGACAAUGGGUGCAAGCCUGAUCCAGCCAUACCGCGUGGGUGAAGAAGGCCUUCGGGUUGUAAAGCCCUUUUGUUGGGAAGGAAAUCCAGCUGGCUAAUACCCGGUUGGGAUGACGGUACCCAAAGAAUAAGCACCGGCUAACUUCGUGCCAGCCGCCGCGGUAA